AUCCUGAAGUCCCUUCUGAACUUACAUUGUUGUGAUAGGGUUAACAAAUUCCACUGUUAAUAUUUGUUCUUUCUUUUUUAGAACCUAUGCUCCAUCCCAAAGUAUUUGUGUGAAAUACCCAAUAACAAUGGAGUUGAGAAAUAAGGAUAACCAUGAGAAUGAGGAAAAUAAAUCAAGAAUCUAGAUGUCACUCUACAGAAUGCCUCUAUUUGGGUGACUUCUGCAUUUGACUGAAGGAGAAAUGGCUGGAUCCACUGGCUGAGGAUGUUUUGGCAAUAUUGGGAACAGCUUGUCACGAGAAUUAAAUAUUAUUGAAUCUGGUUGACCAGGGCCUGAUUCUGCACUGUGUGCCUUGUCUACUUCUGUGAGACUGUCUGUGGAAUAGGCACAUGAAACUCCAUGCAGCUGGUGGGAAGGAUUAUGACCAGUCCCAGCUCCCCAGUGAGCCUCAUUCUACCAGAGCCUUGUACCUCAAGUGGCAGUGCUUACUUCAGCAAAGAGAGAGAAAGUGAAGUCUGGAGAGUCAAAAAGCCAGGAGCUAUGGAAAGACGGCUGGCUGUCUUCAUGACUUCCAGGUCUGCAGCACGCGCAGCAGUUUCAAGGCCUUACCUCAAGGAUAUGAUUGACUGGGGAGGUAGUAGUGAGUAUAUAGAUAUCUGUGCCCAGACCUCAGUGAAAUAAUGUGACAUUCAAGAACUGAUUGAAAAAAACGAAUCUUCAGAGUCCAUGGGAGUCUGCCUGCUUCAGAUCUAGCAAAAUAAAAUAAAAAGCUCAAGAGCUUUGAGGAAUUAU
RNAcentral lists this long non-coding RNA (792 nucleotides) under Struthio camelus australis. RNAcentral's name for it is "lncRNA (ENSSCUG00000015604.1)". The record is from RNAcentral. Lineage: Eukaryota; Metazoa; Chordata; Aves; Struthioniformes; Struthionidae.